AUUGAACGCUGGCGGCAUGCUUUACACAUGCAAGUCGAACGGCAGCGGGGAGGAGCUUGCUUCUCUGCCGGCGAGUGGCGCACGGGUGAGUAAUACAUCGGAACGUGUCGAGAAGAGGGGGAUAACCACCCGAAAGGGUGGCUAAUACCGCAUAAAUUCUGAGGAAGAAAGCUGGGGACCUGGGAAUAGGCCUAGCGCUUUUUGAGCGGCCGAUGUCGGAUUAGCUAGUUGGUGAGGUAAAGGCUCACCAAGGCGAAGAUCUGUAGCGGGUCUGAGAGGAUGAUCCGCCACACUGGGACUGAGACACGGCCCAGACUCCUACGGGAGGCAGCAGUGGGGAAUUUUGGACAAUGGGGGCAACCCUGAUCCAGCCAUGCCGCGUGUAUGAAGAAGGCCUUAGGGUUGUAAAGUACUUUUGUUAGGGAAGAAAAGUCAGAUGUGAAUAAUGGCUGAUACUGACGGUACCUAAAGAAUAAGCACCGGCUAACUACGUG
Molecule: ribosomal RNA, 494 nt
Filed under: uncultured bacterium
Lineage: Bacteria
Description: partial 16S ribosomal RNA
Rfam family: Bacterial small subunit ribosomal RNA
Source: RNAcentral